UACGAAGGGGGCUAGCGUUGUUCGGUAUUAACUGGGCGUAAAGGGUGCGUAGGCGGGGGUUUUAAGUCAGGGGGUGAAAUGCCGAGGCUCAACUUCGGAACUGCCUUUGAUACUGGAACUCUUGAGUCCGGGAGAGGUGAGUGGAACUGCGAGUGUAGAGGUGAAAUUCGUAGAUAUUCGCAAGAACACCAGUGGCGAAGGCGGCUCACUGGCCCGGUACUGACGCUGAGGUGCGAAAAGCGUGGGGGAGCAAACAGG
RNAcentral lists this ribosomal RNA (258 nucleotides) under uncultured bacterium. RNAcentral's name for it is "partial 16S ribosomal RNA". It matches the Rfam family "Bacterial small subunit ribosomal RNA", at positions 524 to 776 of the family's 1533-position model. The record is from RNAcentral.